UAAACGGCCCUUUUCAGGGCCACGACACAAGAUCUAACUUUGGGGA
This is a non-coding RNA of Macrostomum lignano, 46 nucleotides long. NCBI's taxonomy places the organism in Eukaryota, Metazoa, Platyhelminthes, Macrostomidae. The record is from Rfam.